Molecule: ribosomal RNA, 253 nt
Filed under: uncultured bacterium
Lineage: Bacteria
Description: partial 16S ribosomal RNA
Rfam family: Bacterial small subunit ribosomal RNA
Source: RNAcentral
UACAGAGGUCUCAAGCGUUGUUCGGAUUCAUUGGGCGUAAAGGGUGUGUAGGUGGCGCGGUAAGUCGGGGGUGAAAUUUCGGAGCUUAACUCCGAAACUGCAUUCGAUACUGCGGUGCUUGAGGACUGGAGAGGAGACUGGAAUUCAUGGUGUAGCAGUGAAAUGCGUAGAGAUCAUGAGGAAGACCAGUGGCGAAGGCGGGUCUCUGGACAGUUCCUGACACUGAGACACGAAGGCCAGGGGAGCAAACGGG